AUUGAACGCUGGCGGCAGGCCUAACACAUGCAAGUCGAGCGAGCGGCGGACGGGUGAGUAAUGUCUGGGAAACUGCGUGAUGUAGGGGGGUAACUACUGGAAACGGUAGCUAAUACCGCAUACCAUCAGAUGUGCCCAGAUGGGGUUAGCUAGUAGGUGGGGUAACGGCUCACCUAGGCGACGAUCCCUAGCUGGUCUGAGAGGAUGACCAGCCACACUGGAACUGAGACACGGUCCAGACUCCUACGGGAGGCAGCAGGGGGGAAUAUUGCACAAUGGGCGCAAGCCUGAUGCAGCCAUGCCGCGUGUGUGAAGAAGGCCUUCGGGUUGUAAAGCACUUUCAGCGGGGAGGCGUUACCCGCAGAAGAAGCACCGGCUAACUCCGUGCCAGCAGCCGCGGUAAUAC
RNAcentral lists this ribosomal RNA (406 nucleotides) under uncultured bacterium. Its description in RNAcentral is "partial 16S ribosomal RNA". It matches the Rfam family "Bacterial small subunit ribosomal RNA", at positions 30 to 526 of the family's 1533-position model. The record is from RNAcentral.